Long non-coding RNA from Notolabrus celidotus (New Zealand spotty), 1084 nucleotides. RefSeq lists it as uncharacterized. NCBI's taxonomy places the organism in Eukaryota, Metazoa, Chordata, Actinopteri, Labriformes, Labridae. The record is from RefSeq and is a predicted model, not a curated record. The transcript has 3 exons.
UCAGGUCGUUGGUCAGUUUUACUUGAGUGGUGCUAUGGCUUCCUGUGUUCCCAGUGCGCUUGUUUUUACUGUGGAUUUUUAUUUACCAUGAUGCAGGCAAUGAUGAUACAGAUUACCUGGAGAAGGAGGCAGAACUGAGAGCCAUCAAUCAUGCAGCAGACUGAGGGUCUCCUUCCUUGCCGAAUGUGCUUGGACCUUGCUGCUUUGUUUCCUGAGUCACGCAUGGCUACCUCUCCGUUCACCUCCCUUGAGCCUCAACGCCUGACACUCCCCAGCACCCUGCAGAGGAUCGAGAAUCCCUUCAGCACAAACACACUAGUGAUUCAUGAGUGAGUUUUUUGCAUGUCCUUCAUUGUGCCUCAAAGUCCACAUUUUUUUAUUUUUAGGCCACCGGAGGGCAGAGGAGCUCUACACACAUGUCCUCCAAAAACUAUAAUCUAUUGAUUGACUUUUAAUCAUAUUAUUAGUCUAUUAUUUAAACAUCAUGCAGUCCCAGAGCUACAUCAUAACUCAUCUGAAGCCGGGCUAUAGUCAGUCAGUCUGAAAAAAUCUCGUCCAAUAAUCAGGUUGUUUUGUUUUGACUGAAAAAAAUAUUGAUUUCCAUCUGAAUUGUUUUUUUGGAUGAGUGUUGGUGAUAUGUGGAUGUGAAAAAGUUUCCAGGAUUUUAACCUCUCCUUCAAAAUGUAUUUUUAACUCUGCACAGAAAUGACAGUUUUAUAAGCCUUCCAGACAAGACUUUUAAAAGAUUUGUUACAGAAUUGUUACACUUCUGUGAAAAUCUAUCGCAUAGAACUCUUUAUUAAAUACAACUUUUAUUAAACCAUCAGCAACGUCAACGCCAUGUCAAAUUAAUAACAAUUAAACAUCAAGUGUUUUUAUUGUGUUAUAUUCUCAUAAAGGUGCUAUGCAAAUGAAAUACCCUCUGAAGAAAUAUCAUGCAGAUAGUGUCACAUUUAAAUGAACAUGAUGUAGAUACAUUGUGAAUGAACCUGGAAAGCUUGAAAAUUUAGAGACUGGAAAAAAAUGAAAACUUUUCAUUGAAGACAUAUUUCUUUUGCUUUCUAAUAAAACAAGGGAUCUUGAG